AACGAACGCUGGCGGCAUGCCUAACACAUGCAAGUCGAACGCUCCUGGGGCUUCGGUCCGAGGGGAGUGGCGCACGGGUGAGUAGCGCGUGGGAACCUGCCCUGUUGUGGGGGAUAACCGAGGGAAACUUCGGCUAAUACCGCAUGCGCCCGGGGGUGACUCCGGGGAAAGAUUUAUCGCAGCAGGAGGGGCCCGCGUCGGAUUAGGUAGUUGGUGGGGUAACGGCCCACCAAGCCGAUGAUCCGUAGCUGGUCUGAGAGGAUGAUCAGC
Molecule: ribosomal RNA, 270 nt
Filed under: uncultured bacterium
Lineage: Bacteria
Description: partial 16S ribosomal RNA
Rfam family: Bacterial small subunit ribosomal RNA
Source: RNAcentral